This 389-nucleotide ribosomal RNA is filed under the name uncultured bacterium. Its description in RNAcentral is "bacterial SSU rRNA". It matches the Rfam family "Bacterial small subunit ribosomal RNA", at positions 29 to 416 of the family's 1533-position model. The record is from RNAcentral.
AUUGAACGCUGGCGGCGUGCCUAACACAUGCAAGUCGAGCGGUAACAGGUGUAGCAAUACAUGCUGACGAGCGGCGGACGGGUGAGUAACGCUUGGGAAUCUGCCUAUUAGUGGGGGACAACCCGGGGAAACUCGGGCUAAUACCGCAUACGCUCUACGGAGGAAAGCCGGGGACCGCAAGGCCUGGCGCUAAUAGAUGAGCCCAAGUCGGAUUAGCUAGUUGGUAGGGUAAUGGCCUACCAAGGCGACGAUCCGUAACUGGUCUGAGAGGACGACCAGUCACACCGGAACUGAGACACGGUCCGGACUCCUACGGGAGGCAGCAGGUGGGGAAUAUUGGACAAUGGGCGAAAGCCUGAUCCAGCGACGCCGCGUGGGUGAAGAAGGCC